GCGAAUGGAUUGAGAGCUUGCUCUCAAGAAGUUAGCGGCGGACGGGUGAGUAACACGUGGGUAACCUGCCCAUAAGACUGGGAUAACUCCGGGAAACCGGGGCUAAUACCGGAUAACAUUUUGAACUGCAUGGUUCGAAAUUGAAAGGCGGCUUCGGCUGUCACUUAUGGAUGGACCCGCGUCGCAUUAGCUAGUUGGUGAGGUAACGGCUCACCAAGGCAACGAUGCGUAGCCGACCUGAGAGGGUGAUCGGCCACACUGGGACUGAGACACGGCCCAGACUCCUACGGGAGGCAGCAGUAGGGAAUCUUCCGCAAUGGACGAAAGUCUGACGGAGCAACGCCGCGUGAGUGAUGAAGGCUUUCGGGUCGUAAAACUCUGUUGUUAGGGAAGAACAAGUGCUAGUUGAAUAAGCUGGCACCUUGACGGUACCUAACCAGAAAGCCACGGCUAACUACGUGCCAGCAGCCGCGGUAAUACGUAGGUGGCAAGCGUUAUCCGGAAUUAUUGGGCGUAAAGCGCGCGCAGGUGGUUUCUUAAGUCUGAUGUGAAACCCCCGGCUCAACCGUGGAGGGUCAUUGGAAACUGGGAGACUUGAGUGCAGAAGAGGAAAGUGGAAUCCAUGUGUAGCGGUGAAAUGCGUAGAGAUAUGGAGGACACCAGUGGCGAAGCGACUUUCUGGUCUGUAACUGAACUGAGGCGCGAAAGCGUGGGGAGCAAACAGGAUAGAUACCCUGGUAGUCCACGCCGUAAACGAUGAGUGCUAA
RNAcentral lists this ribosomal RNA (767 nucleotides) under Bacillus thuringiensis. Its description in RNAcentral is "bacterial SSU rRNA". It matches the Rfam family "Bacterial small subunit ribosomal RNA", at positions 66 to 819 of the family's 1533-position model. The record is from RNAcentral. Lineage: Bacteria; Bacillati; Bacillota; Bacilli; Caryophanales; Bacillaceae.